This 468-nucleotide ribosomal RNA is filed under the name uncultured bacterium. Its description in RNAcentral is "partial 16S ribosomal RNA". It matches the Rfam family "Bacterial small subunit ribosomal RNA", at positions 28 to 507 of the family's 1533-position model. The record is from RNAcentral.
GACGAACGCUGGCGGCGUGCUUAACACAUGCAAGUCGAACGGAAAGGCCCUGCUUUUGUGGGGUGCUCGAGUGGCGAACGGGUGAGUAACACGUGAGUAACCUGCCCUUGACUUUGGGAUAACUUCAGGAAACUGGGGCUAAUACCGGAUAGGAGCUCCUGCUGCAUGGUGGGGGUUGGAAAGUUUCGGCGGUUGGGGAUGGACUCGCGGCUUAUCAGCUUGUUGGUGGGGUAGUGGCUUACCAAGGCUUUGGCGGGUAGCCGGCCUGAGGGGGUGACCGGCCACAUUGGGACUGAGAUACGGCCCAGACUCCUACGGGAGGCAGCAGUGGGGAAUAUUGCACAAUGGGCGGAAGCCUGAUGCAGCAACGCCGCGUGCGGGAUGACGGCCUUCGGGUUGUAAACCGCUUUCGCCUGUGACGAAGCGUGAGUGACGGUAAUGGGUAAAGAAGCACCGGCUAACUACGUG